GCCAAGACGUAAAAUAACUCACACACUAAACGCCAGGGUAUUACGAGCUUUAGCUUAAAACCCAAAGGACUUGACGGUACCCCACCCAACUAGAGGAGCCUGUUCUAUAAUCGACAACCCACGAUAUACCCGACCAUUUCUUGCCUCCAGCCUGUAUACCUCCGUCGUAAGCCUACCUUGUAAACGCACAAUAGUAGGCCCAAAGGCUAAACGCCACAACGUCAGGUCAAGGUGCAGCUUAUGAAAUGGAAGCAAUGGGCUACAAUUUCUAACCUAGGACAAGCCAAACACUAUAUGAAAUACGGUUACAAGAAGGAUUUAGUAGUAAAUAAGAAAUAGAGAGCCUUAUUAAACCCAGCCCUGGGGUG
This 368-nucleotide ribosomal RNA is filed under the name Philautus sp. WHT2792. RNAcentral's name for it is "partial 12S ribosomal RNA". It matches the Rfam family "Bacterial small subunit ribosomal RNA", at positions 839 to 1381 of the family's 1533-position model. The record is from RNAcentral. Lineage: Eukaryota; Metazoa; Chordata; Amphibia; Anura; Rhacophoridae.